Long non-coding RNA from Camelus dromedarius (Arabian camel), 271 nucleotides. RefSeq lists it as uncharacterized. The record is from RefSeq and is a predicted model, not a curated record. Lineage: Eukaryota; Metazoa; Chordata; Mammalia; Artiodactyla; Camelidae. The transcript has 3 exons.
CCGUGAUGCAUCAAAGCUGAAAGUGGCCCCAGGAAGGAACCCAGCACGCUGGUUUACGGCUCCCACGCCUCAGCAAAGCUAUGAAGUAGAUGCUGGUACCGUCUCCUUCCAUGAUGAGAGAACUGAUGAAUGUCACACAGUCUGUGAGUGGCUGGAAGUGGUCCUUUCACAUCAGAAAUCACCCACAUAAAGUCAUCCCUUCCAAGGCUCUGUGUGAUGUGCCUCAACCUCUUCCACUCAGAAACCCGGCCCUCCAGAGGGCAGCAGAUGU